AACGAACGCUGGCGGCAGGCUUAACACAUGCAAGUCGAGCGAGACCUUCGGGUCUAGCGGCGGACGGGUGAGUAACGCGUGGGAACGUGCCCUUCUCUACGGAAUAGCCCCGGGAAACUGGGAGUAAUACCGGAUACGCCCUUUGGGGGAAAGAUUUAUCGGAGAAGGAUCGGCCCGCGUUGGAUUAGGUAGUUCGUGGGGUAAUCGCCCACCAAGCCGUCGAUCCAUAGCUGGUUUGAGAGGAUGAUUAGCCACACUGGGACUGAGACCCGGCCCAGACUCCUACGGGAGGCACCAGUGGUGAAUCCUAGACAAGGGAGGCAACCAUGAUCUAGCCAUGCCGCGUGAGAGAUGAAGGCCUUAGGGUUGUAAAGCUCUAUCAGCUGGGAAGAUAAUUACGGUACCAGCAGAAGAAGCCCCGGCUAACUCCGUG
This 433-nucleotide ribosomal RNA is filed under the name uncultured bacterium. RNAcentral describes it as "partial 16S ribosomal RNA". It matches the Rfam family "Bacterial small subunit ribosomal RNA", at positions 29 to 507 of the family's 1533-position model. The record is from RNAcentral.